CACAUCCUCAAAAUAAUUUCCGUUUCCGUUUACAGAGCGGCUCUCAUCGAGUAUAUACUUGGCUCAAUAACAUAAUCUACAGUCUUUUUCAAUAAAACAUUUCGAUAUCUAGCUGCUAAAAUGUUUUUGACCAGAUCAGAAUACGACCGUGGUGUAAAUACUUUUUCUCCUGAAGGUCGUCUGUUUCAAGUGGAAUAUGCAAUCGAAGCUAUAAAAUUGGGCUCAACAGCUAUAGGAAUACAAACGGCCGAGGGUGUUGUUUUAGCCGUUGAAAAAAGAGUAACUUCUCCACUCAUAGAAGCUAACAGCAUUGAAAAGAUUAUGGAAGUUGACACUCAUAUCGGUUGUGCAAUGAGUGGACUUAUCGCUGACUCCAGAACAAUGAUAGACAGAGCAAGAUUGGAAGCUCAAAACCACUGGUUUACUUACAAUGAGAGAAUGAGUGUAGAAAGUGUUACUCAAGCAGUUAGCAAUCUGGCAUUAGCUUUUGGAGAUGAUGACGCGGAUCCUGGUGCAAUGAGUCGACCAUUCGGGGUAGCUCUAUUGUUUGCCGGUGUAGAUGAAAAAGGACCACAACUGUUCCAUAUGGAUCCAUCGGGAACGUUCAUUCAGUACGAUGCAAAGGCGAUUGGAUCCGGUUCGGAAGGCGCUCAACAAGCGUUGCAAGACGUCUACCAUAAAUCAAUGACCUUGAAAGAAGCUUGUAAACAGGCUCUUACCAUCCUUAAGCAAGUAAUGGAAGAAAAAUUAAAUGAAACCAACGUUGAGAUGGCGGUCGUAACCCCUGAAAAGAUGUUUCAAAUGUUUUCAAAGGAUGAGCUUCAGGACGUUAUAAAAGAGUUGUAGGUUUCUUGAUUGCCCUAUACAUCAAUGACCUUGGUAAAUAAAAUUUGAAUAUGUAAAACAUAUGGAAUAGUUUCGUUGAUUUGGCUAUUAGUUUUAUAUUGACAGCUAUAUCUUCGUUGAAGGCUACUUUGAAGGGAAACGAUAUUAGCUAUCAGCUAAUCAUGGCAAGUAGGCUUUGGGACCGCUUCCAUGUGGCAUUACGAUAGUGGAGUAAAUAAAAUCGUUGGUUCCUUUCGCUUUUCAAUAUAACGUCAAACGUUUUACUGCUGAAUUGACAACAACCUAUCCGGUUGCAUAGAAAUGAUGCAUCCAAUAUAAUAAACAAACGACUGUGUCAGAGUAGAGCAGAAAGAAAUUGCUCUUUCAGUAGCCCCUUUCGAUGUUUAAUGUAUUAUUUUGCCAUGGGCAAUCUGCAAUUUUUUACCAAACCUAAAAUGUGCUAAAAUUGAUGUCAAACCACUAUACUAUCAAUUUACUGCCAUGGCUAUUGAUUUCACCGCUACUUCUCUGAGUCUUCUUCCUUUAUAGGUACCGGUUGACCUUUGUAGAAAGACGUUUCAGAGAAGAGAAACCACAGUUUACCAGCCCAAAGUAGAG
Molecule: unclassified non-coding RNA, 1443 nt
Filed under: Dimorphilus gyrociliatus
Lineage: Eukaryota; Metazoa; Annelida; Polychaeta; Dinophilidae
Description: proteasome subunit alpha type
Source: RNAcentral